UUGGGCGACCAUACUACGUUGAAAGCACCAGUUCUCGUUCGAUCACCGCAGUUAAGCAACAUUGGGCCCGGUCAGUACUUGCAUGGCUGACCGGAUGUCGCUGCCU
This 106-nucleotide ribosomal RNA is filed under the name Schistosoma mansoni. Lineage: Eukaryota; Metazoa; Platyhelminthes; Trematoda; Strigeidida; Schistosomatidae. The record is from RNAcentral.